RNAcentral lists this ribosomal RNA (556 nucleotides) under Sorex araneus (European shrew). Its description in RNAcentral is "partial 16S ribosomal RNA". The record is from RNAcentral. Lineage: Eukaryota; Metazoa; Chordata; Mammalia; Eulipotyphla; Soricidae.
GUUGUCCAGAUAAGAAUUUUAGUUCAACUUUAAAUUUACUACAAAAAUAUAUAAUUACACCGUAAAUUUAACUGUUAAUCUAAAGGGGUACAGCCCUUUAGACUAAGGAUACAACCUUAAUUAGAGAGUAAAUAUACUAAUAACCAUAGUUGGCCUAAAAGCAGCCAUCAAUUAAGAAAGCGUUCAAGCUCAACAAUAAUUAAUUCCUUAAUCCAAUGAUUAUAUAUUAACUCCUAACUUACUACUGGACUAAUCUAUUAAUCAAUAGAAGAAAUACUGUUAAUAUGAGUAACAAGAUUUGUAUCUCCUAGCACAGGCUUAUAUCAAACCGAAUAAUAACUGAUAGUUAACGGCCAAAUAAAUAUAAUCCCACAUAAACUAUUUAUUAACCCACCGUUAAUCCAACACAGGUGUGCAUAAAGGAAAGAUUAAAAGAAAUAAAAGGAACUCGGCAAACACAAACCCCGCCUGUUUACCAAAAACAUCACCUCUAGCAUUACUAGUAUUAGAGGCACUGCCUGCCCAGUGACAACUGUUUAACGGCCGCGGUAUCCUG